Molecule: ribosomal RNA, 174 nt
Filed under: uncultured bacterium
Lineage: Bacteria
Description: partial 16S ribosomal RNA
Rfam family: Bacterial small subunit ribosomal RNA
Source: RNAcentral
CGGAGUUGCUAGUAAUCCCGAAUCAGCAUGUCGGGGUGAAUGCGUUCCCGGGUCUUGUACACACCGCCCGUCACGCCAUGGGAGUUAGGAGUACCCGAAGCCAGUGACCUAACCGCAAGGGAGGAGCUGUCGAAGGUAAGACUGAUGACUGGGGUGAAGUCGUAACAAGGUAGC